UACGGGGGGGGCAAGCGUUGUUCGGAAUUACUGGGCGUAAAGGGUUUGUAGGUGGCCAACUAAGUCAGACGUGAAAUCCCUCAGCUUAACUGGGGAACUGCGUCUGAUACUGGUUGGCUUGAGUGCAGGAGAGGAAUGCGGAAUUCCAGGUGUAGCGGUGAAAUGCGUAGAUAUCUGGAGGAACACCGGUGGCGAAGGCGGCAUUCUGGACUGCAACUGACACUGAAGAACGAAAGCCAGGGGAGCAAACGGG
This 253-nucleotide ribosomal RNA is filed under the name uncultured bacterium. RNAcentral's name for it is "partial 16S ribosomal RNA". It matches the Rfam family "Bacterial small subunit ribosomal RNA", at positions 524 to 776 of the family's 1533-position model. The record is from RNAcentral.